CCAACAGACGAGGAAACUGAGGCCCACCACAGUUCAGGAACCGGCCCAAGGUGCCAUGGCUGGUACGCGGAAGCCCUGGGACCACAGCCCAGGAGCCCCGGGACGCUGUGGUUCUCACUGUAAAUUCUCGGCUGAACCUCCAGGGGGCCCACUGCCACAUGUUCCUGGUCCACUCAGCCUCCCUCUCUCCUAGAAUCCUUUUCCUCUCUCAAAUCCUUACCACUUCCUCCCAUCCUUAUGCUGGGCGUCUUGCUUCCUACUUAACAGUCAGCAGAAGCAGCUGGAAUAGAGCCUUCCGGGCUGCCCCCAAACCCUGCGCUGACUUCGUCUGUGCACAGAUUCUGCCCUCCCCCCACCACAGCGGACGGGCCCUUGGUCGGAGGCCGUCCCUUCCCCACAAGGGGACACCAUCCAGCAAACCUCCCUUCUGUCUCCUGCAUCAUUCAUUUUCCUUCAAUACUGGAUCAUUCCCACUCCAGCAAAACUACUUUUUUUAAGGUCACCCAGUGGUCUCCACAGAAAGGCGUUCCUAGCAUAUUUCACACCCAAGCAGACCAUUUUUAACGCUCCCCCCUCCGUACAGCACAGUUAUAUUCAGUAAGAAUCAUUGUUUUCUUCAUUCGUUCUCUAGUUUUAAAGCAAUUAAAAAAGAGUAAAUUUCCAUUGCAAAACUAUUCAAAUUCAGUAUAUUUCAUGACUAAAAUGUGCACUUAUCGAACCAAAAUAUUACACCUUGCAAUUUACACUCUAUUGUACUGCUCUAAAUUUUAAACACAAAUAAAAACUUCAAUUGGUCACACAAAAAUGACAGAUUGAAGUAACUCAAGUUCUAUUUAGAAAAGCGUACAUUUCUAAGUCAAUGCAGAUUUAUUUUGACACUCUCUGCCAUUCUCCGAGCUUGGGAGAACUUUCUGCAGCCGCUGCCAAAAAAUUGCAAAAAAAGCAGCAAAAAGCUCCCAAAUGCAGGCGCUGAGUUUGCUUGCUACAUCAUGGAAAGUGGCCUAGGAAUGUGCCCAAUCGUUUGGCUGAAGCUCUCCGACAAGGCUUAGGCCUGGGACGCCAGCUUGUGGCGUGGAUUUUCCCACGCUUCCCUUCUGAGGUCUCGGCAGACAUGACUAUUCAGUCAUGGCCUGCGUGUGAGCCCUGAAGUGUCCAUGAUUCACCAGGCAGCUACUGUCGAUUAACAGAGUUGGCAUGUGAAAUGACAUUUAUUUGUCAUCUCCAGUUUAAAAAUAGUUCAGUGUAUACAUUUUUAUCCCAUGCCAAAUUCUGAAGCUCUAGUCUGUAAAGUAUCUGAAGAGUCAAGAGUCUUAGACGGGUCGAGGUAAGGGGAGAGGACAGCCCCCACAGAGAUGGCUCACAGCACUGGGGUUCCCCAGAGGAGACCCCCCCAGUCAUCCUCAAUUCUGCAGAACGAGACUCUCCCCUGAGUUCAAAAUCUCUGCUCUAAUUGUCAUCUCUUCCUGCAUCUCCCAAAGGCUUCCCUUACUCAGCGUGCCCAGACCAAAUUCCUGUUCUUCCCUCUGAACACUGGCUUCUCUCUCUCAGUCUCCUCAGCAAAUGGCCCCACCGCCCACCCACUGCCUGAGCCGGAGAACCCUGGAGCCAGGCUGAGCAUCAUACUCUCUUCCAAUUCAUCACUAACACCCUUGAUUUUCUCCCUAGCCUCUCUUCCACUGUCCAUUUCUCUCUAGACCACAACCAUAGGAGGAAUGACAAUCUGAAUUAGCAUAUUAAAGGCUCUGAGAAGUCCUGCACAGAAGAACUUGGUUAACUCAGGCUUUCCAAAUCAUGUUUGACCCAGGAACACUUGAUCUCUGCACCACAUCUCCCAAGGCUGUGCCACGGAAUAUUCUUUGGGAGACAUCCCCUGACUUUUCUUUGGAGAGGUCUGUAGCAUUUCCACUCUGUCUUGAUCAGGAGCGGGGCCACCCCACUGCGGGUGCCAAGACUGUGUCACCUGGCCUUGGCAAGUUUCCUUUGCCCCCUGUCCCUUCCCUCUCUCAUGGAAGGAACGACUUCACUCAACCCGCUGCAUGGGGCAUCUUCCGGGGCCACUUGCUAUGACGAAUGUGCGCAACAUCAAGGGUUUGGGAGCUUUCGUGGUUUUUCAUCAACAGCUUUUCAGCAGUGGCAGCGGGAAGUUCUCCUCAAGCUCACAGAGGGCAGGUCUGAGAGCUUUUCUGGGGCAGCACAAGCAGCGGUGUGCAGCUGAACAGAGGCCGUGUGCGCUUCCAGGCUCCUGGCACACCUGUCGGGCCGUCUCUUCAGACGCUUCUGCCUACAUUUUCUUUCCCUUCCUGCCUACGUUGCCUUUCCUGUAGGGGCACAUUUAAUAAGGCACACGCCCACCCCUGGCCAGGGAGGUGUCCCUGUCAUCACCACAUUCUUCCCUCUGCUGUGGGAACGUUUCGGUGUUCCAAUCUCUAAAUAUGCUCACUCAUGCAGCGACUUUUAACCAGCGUGUUCUUUCAGGUUUCUAUUUACACGCACAUUCAUUUAUUCAGCCCGUUUUUCCUGUGCUAGACACUAUCGCAGACGCUGGGGAUGCAGUGGUGAACAAAAUCAUCAAAACCCCUGCAUGCUAGGAACUAAGAGGAAGCGGACGAUAAACAGAUAAAUGAAACGAUCAACAGGAAAACCACAGCUGCAUGGUGGCAUGUGAGCAAACGCGAGACAGGACUCUUCAACGUACACAGAGAAAGAAUCAGAAAGUGCUGCUUGGAGACAGACUUUUCCUAACUGGCGACGAGAUGGCUUUGAGAGACACAGGAAUGGACAGAGGCGUGAAUCUCCUCACUCCCAAAGAGGAGGGGAGACUGCAGUGCAGACGUCCUCCUGCGCCACCAGGGCCGGAAGACGGCCUACCUCAUGGCGCCUGAGCCGUCCACACAGCCUGGCACUGCUUUCCAACGAAGGCAGCCACCCGGUCACGGAAAAACGGCAAACUCCAGGAAAACACGGUGCCGGGGGCAAUCUGGAGACCUCAAGGGCCCCGUGUGUGGAGAUGAGGGCUGGUCCAGUGAGAUGGAUGUUUUCUAAAACUUUUUCAGUGCAAAUGGAUUUGAAUCGUGACCAUUCCCUCCAGGUUUACCUUCUUUGGGUAGAUUUUCCUGACCAUCCCAGCCCUCGACACCAGCUGCCUUCUCUAAAAUCCAGGCCCUCUCUGUCUAGCUGCUAUUUGUCCCUUCCUUUAUAUCACUCCCAGUGAUGCCUGUGGUACCCAUCUCCCCUCUCACUCGUGCUCGGCGGCGCGGGUGGGGAGCCGACCUCUCGUGCUUCCCUCGGAACCACCUGGGAUCUAGUUACGGUGCAGAAUCGAAUUCACCAGGUCUGGGGUGGGGCCUGGGGCUCUGCAUUGCUACCAAGCUCCCAGGCAAAGCCCUGGGGCUGGUUGGCACCUAUGCUUUGAGUGGUGAGAGGGAGAAGGAGAUUGAGUGUGACUUCACUAGGCUCAAACUCUGCUCUGCCCUUGACUGACUAUGCAGCCUAACCUCUUUAAGCCUCAGUUUUCUUGACUUAAAAUGGGCAUAAGUACACAGUACAUUUGUGGACAAUGGCUAUCAUCCACAGUGUUCUGUAUUCUCUUAUGAGAUGGUCAGUCAGCUGUGGCCACAAGAGACAGACGAGAGGCUCAGGACAACAAUGUUUAUGAUGAUCACAGGUCAGGAGACGGGGGCAGGGCAUGUCAUGCCACGCAGGGCCACGAGGGGAGGACACCAGGGUGGUCAGCAGGCAGAAGACGAACAAGGGGAAAGUUUAGGCCAGAAGCUUUACUGGAGUUUCCACGGAAGGACAAGGCAGGGCGGGGCGAACAUCAUAGGAUUGGCUGGUUUGAAUAAUUUCAAUGGGCUUUGGACCAUAGGGGUGUCUCUAGUUGCCUGGUGCCUGGUGGGACUGAUUAAGGCUGAAGAAUAUCACCCUCUUGGCUGGGCCGGCCAGAGAGAGGAGGUCUGGCCCCGGAUGAGUUGGUUUGCAUUUCAAGGGCCCGCCCUGGCUGGCCUUGUGCUGCCUCUAAGAACCCGUUAGCCCUCAAAGGGGCAGCCUCUCCCCAGCUAGAAUGAUGUCAGAGCAUGGCAAUAUACAGAAAGUAAAAUAUAUACAACGCACACAUAAAGGGAACCUCUAGUUUAUGAGUUCUUCACGGCUUUCCCUGCUCCCUUUUAUCACGUUCAUACCGAAAACCGAUCUGCCCUCUUCUGACCCCGCACGGAAGCCGCACGCAGGGCCCCUCGGGCGGCUGGGCCGAUGUGAUGGAUGCACAUGUGGUGCACACUGCCUGGCACACAGUACUCCAUACGUGGCUGCAGUGGCUGUUUAUUUUUCUUCUUCUUGCUCACAGCUUUCCCAAAGCCCUCAUAAUCGGCACCGCUAUUAAUUUCCGGAGCAAACUGCCGAGGAACGGUGUGUGCGGCCUCUGAGGGCGAAGCAGAUGUCUGGCACAAUCUGUCUUCCUUCUGAGGAGCGCAAGCCGAACACGGGCCUCCUCACCCCUCGCUUGUAUCCUCACCCUGAGUUGACCGGGCAAGAGCCUCCGCUGAGAGCAACAAAUUACAGCGAUCUCUGCACAGGCGGCUGGAGCUCGCCUUCCCGGGGCUUAUAAACCAACUCGCGACCGAAACUGCGGAGAAAUCUCUGCAUGUCAGAUAUCGUCUCCUAAUUGAUAAGAAAGUGCUCAGAAAUAGAACUGUCAUCCCACAAAUCCUGGAACUAAUUGCCUUACACGAGGCAGGCUGCUGACUGUGAGCGGCGGUUCCCAGGGAAACGAGGCCCGCGCGCUGCUGGCUGACACCGGGCUCGGGAGCCGGGACCCUGCGGCGGGCGUGCGGCGGGGGCGGUGCUGGCGACGUCGUUUCGGGCUUUCUCGCUUCCGCUUGAAGGGCAAAGGCCUCAACCAGAGACUAAACAGACGCUCAGCCAACCAUCAAAAAUUAAUCCGCGUCUGCACUUGCCCAGCACCUCUAGACGCCUGCCUGGACGUUGCACGGGUCUCAAACGCGGGGGCGUUCAAACUCCUAAACCACAAAGUUUGAACAGUAGUUAACCCUUUAGUCAUGAGUGGUUAAGUUUUUCUUUGCUGUAUUUUGGUUAUUCCUUCAUUUUCUUCCAUGGACAUGUCACUUUAUCUUUUAGAUAUUACAAAACAUUUCAGCCUACAAAAAUGACAGCGAUUAUUAAAAUGAGCACUCAUGUACAUUAUCCAGAUCUGGUUUUACAUUUAUAAUCAGAAACAACCAUAGUAAUGACAACAAAAUCCUUAAAUUCCUGCUCAUUUUCUCCUAAUCUGUCUUCCUGACUUCCAGUUUCUGACGUGGGCAGCACUGCAAUUUAGGCAAUCAACAUGAAAGGCUUGGAACUGACUGAAGGUUACCUGUUCUUUAACCGACAAGUCCAGUUGAUGGCACCUCCACGUUUCUCGAAAAAAAUUUCCUUUUUUCGUUUCCUUUGCCACUUCGUUUCAGUAGCCUCGAUCACCGUUUUCUUCCUCAUUCUCAUCAUUUCUGGAUCCACAGUUUUAGCACCUGGAAGCAAUCGUUACACUGUCCCCUUGCUUCGUUGCAAUUGGAGAAAUCAGCCGUCAGCCUCACUGUCAUUCCUUUGUGUGUAAUCUGUUUUUUUCUCUCUCUCUGAAUGACUUUAAGGUCUUUUAUCUUUGGUAUUUCUGGGUUAUGCUCAGACGCAGAUGUCUUUUUAAAUACCCUACUUGACAUUGGUUAGGCUUUCUGAAGCUGAGGAAGUUAGUUUUCCCUUCAUUUCUAGAAAUUCCCAACUGUUGUGCCAUCAGAUUUUGUUUCUUUCUCAUUCUUUAUUUUUCUUCUUUCUGCCACCUUAGUUAGACAUUCGAGGGAAAUUCUCACUUUAGUCUCUGGUCUCCUAACCUCUCUUAUUUUACAUUUCAUCGUCUCUCAGUUGUACCUUCUGGGUGGUUUCUUCAGGUGUUUCUUCCAGUUGACAAAUUCUUUCUUUUGCUGAGUCUGUUUUGCUACUUAAAUCUGUCCAGAGAGUUUUCAGUUAUUACUUUUUUCAUCCACACAUUCCUGGCACAGAGCUUUAAAACCCCUUGGAAUUUCUGAUAAGAGUGUCUUUGUUAUGCUAAUGAGGCAACUCACGGGAGGUCCCCAGGCAGCUGCAGGAUGGGGACUGGUCACCAGGAAGACCAAGCAUGUGAUUAGAGGGUAGGACUUUCA
Equus caballus (horse) is the source of this 6188-nucleotide non-coding RNA. The record is from RefSeq and is a predicted model, not a curated record. Lineage: Eukaryota; Metazoa; Chordata; Mammalia; Perissodactyla; Equidae.